AACGAACGCUGGCGGCAUGCCUAACACAUGCAAGUCGAACGAGACCUUCGGGUCUAGUGGCGCACGGGUGCGUAACGCGUGGGAACCUGCCCUUAGGUUCGGAAUAACUCCCCGAAAGGGGUGCUAAUACCGGCUAAUGUCUUCGGACCAAAGAUUUAUCGCCUUUGGAUGGGCCCGCGUUGGAUUAGCUAGUUGGUAGGGUAAAAGCCUACCAAGGCGACGAUCCAUAGCUGGUCUGAGAGGAUGAUCAGCCACACUGGGACUGAGACACGGCCCAGACUCCUACGGGAGGCAGCAGUGGGGAAUAUUGGACAAUGGGCGAAAGCCUGAUCCAGCAAGGCCGCGUGAGUGAUGAAGGCCUUAGGGUUGUAAAGCUCUUUUACCCGGGAUGAUAAUGACAGUACCGGGAGAAUAAGCUCCGGCUAACUCCGUG
Molecule: ribosomal RNA, 433 nt
Filed under: uncultured bacterium
Lineage: Bacteria
Description: partial 16S ribosomal RNA
Rfam family: Bacterial small subunit ribosomal RNA
Source: RNAcentral